AGAAAAGCCUCUAACGAUGGGCGGCAGGUAUCCGUACCGCAAACCGACACUGGUAGGUGGGAUGAGUAUUCUCAGGCGCGCGAGUGAUCCCCCGUUAAGGAACUCGGCAAUCUGACCCCGUAACUUCGGGAGAAGGGGUGCCCCGCUAAGGUGAGAAGCCCUGCGCUUCGAGCCUGAGGGGGUCGCAGGAAAUCGGCCCUGGCGACUGUUUACUAAAAACACAGGGCUCUGCUAAGCCGUAAGGCGACGUAUAGGGCCUGACGCCUGCCCAGUGCUGGAAGGUUAAGGGGAGGGGUUAGCCUGAUUCGAUCAGGCGAAGCUCCAAACCGAAGCCCCAGUAAACGGCGGCCGUAACUAUAACGGUCCUAAGGUAGCGAAAUUCCUUGUCGGGUAAGUUCCGACCCGCAUGAAUGGCGUAACGACUGGGGCGCUGUCUCGACGGGGGGCUCGGCGAAGUUUCAAUGCAAGUGCAGAUGCUUGCUACCCGCGACUAGACGGAAAGACCCCGUGAACCUUUACUGCAACCUGAUAUUGCAUCCGGGUGUGUCUUGUGCAGGAUAGGUGGGAGGCGGAGAAGUGGGGGCGCCAGCUCCCAUGGAGCCACCCUUGAGAUACCACCCUUGACAUAUCCAGAUGCUCACCUGCGGGAGUUAUCCUCCCGAGGGACAGUGUCAGGCGGGCAGUUUGACUGGGGCGGUCGCCUCCUAAAAGGUAACGGAGGCGCCCUAAGGUUCCCUCAGCACGAUUGGAAACCGUGUGGUGAGUGUAAGGGCAGAAGGGAGCCUGACUGCGAGAGGGACGCCUCGAGCAGGGACGAAAGUCGGGCCUAGUGAUCCGGUGGUGCCGUGUGGAAGGGCCAUCGCUCAACGGAUAAAAGGUACUCCGGGGAUAACAGGCUGGUCUCCCCCAAGAGUCCACAUCGACGGGGAGGAUCGGCACCUCGAUGUCGGCUCGUCGCAUCCUGGGGCUGGAGCAGGUCCCAAGGGUUGGGCUGUUCGCCCAUUAAAGCGGUACGCGAGCUGGGUUUAGAACGUCGUGAGACAGUUCGGUCCCUAUCUGUCGCGGGCGCAGGAUACCUGAGGGGAGCUGUCCCUAGUACGAGAGGACCGGGAUGGACGGACCUCCAGUGUUCCAGUUGUCCUGCCAGGGGCAUCGCUGGGUAGCUGUGUCCGGAUGGGAUAAGCGCUGAAAGCAUCUAAGCGCGAAGCCCACCCCAAGAUGAGGUAUCCCACUGGGUCGACCAGGUAAGACCCCGGGAAGAUGACCCGGUUGAUAGGCCCCAGGUGGAAGGGUGGUAACACCUUGAGCCGAGGGGUACUAAUCGGUCGAGGACUUGACCGC
RNAcentral lists this ribosomal RNA (1341 nucleotides) under hot springs metagenome. RNAcentral describes it as "bacterial LSU rRNA". It matches the Rfam family "Bacterial large subunit ribosomal RNA", at positions 1611 to 2925 of the family's 2925-position model. The record is from RNAcentral.